RNAcentral lists this ribosomal RNA (476 nucleotides) under uncultured Pirellula sp. Its description in RNAcentral is "bacterial SSU rRNA". It matches the Rfam family "Bacterial small subunit ribosomal RNA", at positions 35 to 523 of the family's 1533-position model. The record is from RNAcentral. Lineage: Bacteria; Pseudomonadati; Planctomycetota; Planctomycetia; Pirellulales; Pirellulaceae.
GGCAAGGGCGCGUGCAUAGCAUGCGAGUCGCGCGAGAAUUUACUUCGGUAAAGGAAAGCGGCGAAAGGGAGAGGACAACAUGGGAAUCUGCCCGGGGGACGAGGAUAGCGUCGGGAAACUGACGGUAAUACUCGAUAAUGUUUGCGGACCAAAGGUGUGAUUCCGCCCCUGGAUGAGCCCAUGCCCCAUUAGCUAGUUGGUAGUGUAAUGGACUACCAAGGCUGUGAUGGGUAGCUGGUGUGAGAGCACGACCAGCCUCACUGGCACUGAGACACUGGCCAGACACCUACGGGUGGCUGCAGUCGAGAAUCUUCGGCAAUGGACGAAAGUCUGACCGAGCGACGCCGCGUGCGGGAUUGAAGGCCUUCGGGUUGUAAACCGCUGUCGUAGAGGAUCAAAGGCAUUAGGGUUCUCCCUUUUGUUUGAGUGAUUCUAGGAGGAAGGAGAGGCUAAGCUCGUGCCAGCAGCCGCGGUAA